Molecule: ribosomal RNA, 292 nt
Filed under: uncultured bacterium
Lineage: Bacteria
Description: partial 16S ribosomal RNA
Source: RNAcentral
GGACUACUGGGGUAUCUAAUCCCGUUUGCUCCCCUAGCUUUCGAGCUUCAGCGUCAGUAGCAGGCCAGGUGGGCGCCUUCGCCACCGGUGUUCCUCCAGAUAUCUACGCAUUUCACCGCUACACCUGGAAUUCCCCCACCCUCUCCUGUACUCAAGCUCAGCAGUUUGGGAUGCAGGUCCCGGGGUGAGCCCGGGAAUUUCACAUCCCACUUACCAAACCGCCUAGACUCCCUUUACGCCCAGUGAUUCCGAACAACGCUUGCUCCCCCCGUAUUACCGCGGCGGCUGGCAC